This 253-nucleotide ribosomal RNA is filed under the name uncultured bacterium. Its description in RNAcentral is "partial 16S ribosomal RNA". It matches the Rfam family "Bacterial small subunit ribosomal RNA", at positions 524 to 776 of the family's 1533-position model. The record is from RNAcentral.
UACGGGGGGGGCUAGCGUUGUUCGGAAUUACUGGGCGUAAAGGGCGCGUAGGCGGUCUAUUAAGUUGGAUGUGAAAACUCUGGGCUUAACCCAGAGCCUGCAUUCAAAACUGAUAGGCUGGAGUUCUGGAGGGGAUAGCGGAAUUCCUGGUGUAGCGGUGAAAUGCGUAGAUAUCAGGAGGAACACCGGUGGCGAAGGCGGCUAUCUGGACAGAAACUGACGCUGAGGCGCGAAAGCUAGGGGAGCGAACAGG